Caenorhabditis elegans is the source of this 82-nucleotide non-coding RNA. The record is from Ensembl. Lineage: Eukaryota; Metazoa; Nematoda; Chromadorea; Rhabditida; Rhabditidae.
UCUAAGCCUAAGCCUAAGCCUAAGCGUAAGCCUAAGCCUAUGACUAACUCUAAGUCUAAGCCUAAACCAUCCUAAGCCGAAG